AAUUCUCUCUCUCUCUCUCUCUCUGAUAAUGUCUGUCACUGGCCGCAGUCUCCUCUAUCUAGAAUCCCAUCAAGCAAGUAACAACCAGAGCAAGCCAUCAUCAGUAAGUGGGGAAGUGGCAUCAUUCGGCAAAACGUGACCAAGCCACGCCUAAUAGCACGUUUGAUUCCUACUGUUGCUUAUUACGUGAGACCACAAGUAUGUGGACAAGCAUGUCAUAAUCCACAAUCAUUCUUACGUCUGCGGCUUAGCGUACCGACAAGGCGUGGAAGAAAACGAUGGUGAACUGCGCCAUCAUUAUCAUCCUCAUCAUAGGAGACACAGACACACACACACACCGUAAGCUCCCUACAAGACAGUAAACACAAAAAUAUGAGUGAAAAAUGAAACUAGAGGAAUAUUAAUCAACAUUUUAUUAAGCCCCUACAGACCCACCUAUGGCAUACAGCGUCAGUCCAGAGUACAGCCCCAGGGUUGGUCUUGCUAGCCCCGAUGAGGAUGAAAGCAGGAGUCAUCGUCAUUAACCACUGUGGAUGGUGAGGGUGGUAGAGGAGGCAGUGGUGGGUUUAAUAAUAGUGUUACUGAUAAAUCCUGUUGUUUUAUAUUGUAAUUCUACACAGUAAAAAUAUAGAUUUGAAAA
Molecule: long non-coding RNA, 640 nt
Organism: Scylla paramamosain (green mud crab)
Lineage: Eukaryota; Metazoa; Arthropoda; Malacostraca; Decapoda; Portunidae
Exons: 2
Source: RefSeq, a predicted model, not a curated record